This is a long non-coding RNA of Numida meleagris (helmeted guineafowl), 853 nucleotides long. RefSeq lists it as uncharacterized. The record is from RefSeq and is a predicted model, not a curated record. NCBI's taxonomy places the organism in Eukaryota, Metazoa, Chordata, Aves, Galliformes, Numididae. The transcript is spliced from 5 exons.
GAGAAAGUGGAGUGGAAAGGCCUAGUGAUACAAAAUGAAUUUGCUCUGCAGUAGAGCUAUGUCUAGGUGCUGUCUUGGAGAUUGAGUCCUACAGAAUUAUUCUGAAGACUUCUCACAGCCCAUCCUUCAGCUAAGCUGGGCUUGGAGAUCUAGACUCAGUUGAAUGAAAAGGAUGAUUGAUCUCAAAUGUGUCGUGACAACUUGACCUUUUCAUGCCACAGUUAGUGACCCGCCUAAAGAGCAACUAUGGAUUAUACUGCACUAUGGCAAUGUUUUUGCUAGCUUGACCUUUCAGUUGGUACAGUGCCUCAUACACACAGGAUUAUAAUGGAGCCAAUAGAAUCAACAGGAAUCUCAAUCUGGGAAAGGAAUGGACCAUGGAUGGGGUGUAUCCAGGGUUCUGGGUACACCUUCAGGUCAAAGGCCUUCCUGAUGGGAAUGUCCAGGAGAAGAUAUGAGGAGAACACUUACCCAGAAUAACCGAGUGUGGUGCAUGACGUUGUCCUCCGUUGUGGAACAUACAGGCUGCUGUCCUAGGUGAUGCGAAAAUCAGAGGAAGGUUUUAGAAUAUGAUUUGUCUUAGAAUAUGACAUACACAAACAUAAUGUUUGUGACACCGUCUCCAGUUACUGUGAGGAUUAGCUUGAAAAUUUUACUCCUCCUGAAAACCUCUGCAGUAUUGUUUGUUAAGCAAAACCUUGUCAAUUUUCCAAAUGUUCUUUCCAUAUCCACCCGGCUUGUAAUAGUGUAUUUGAUAAUGCAUACUGUAAGGUUUGUCCAGCUUACUGGAAUCUUUUCAGUGAGUUUAAAAAAGUAAAAUCAAAUUUUUAUAAACUUCCCUGCAUAGAGAAAA